Heterocephalus glaber (naked mole-rat) is the source of this 589-nucleotide long non-coding RNA. Lineage: Eukaryota; Metazoa; Chordata; Mammalia; Rodentia; Bathyergidae. The record is from Ensembl.
CAAAAGGAGGCCUCCGCAAACCAGACUGUGCCGGACACUCAGUGCACAGAGCUGCUUGGGAAACUGCAGCAGGCAGCGCUGACUCUGCCCAGCUAUCCAGGCCCAGAAAGAGAGGUGACCCCACUCCUCCCCGAUCUCACAAAAAAAUGCAUAUACAGUGGGGAGGACGUUGGACUCUACCAUCGGGAGGAGCCAGACGGACAGACACUGCAGGAGGACCAGGCCAUGUCCCCCUCUUCCUGUUUGGUCUGUGGGCUGCUGUUGCUCCUGUGUCCCACUGACGCCAGGUGGCAGGUGCAGGUCCAUCCAGCAAUGAAUGGUCUUCACUGUCGAGUUUCAGUGGUAUCACUCUGGAUGGCUUCCCAAUCUGUCUCGGACGCCUCCCUCUCCACCUCAGCCUGAUGCGCUGUGAAGACGGAAUUGUCUUCCCCCUGCCCAGUUCUGGAAUCCAGAAGUUAAGGAAUCGAGGUGUCUACAGAGCCACAUUCCCUAUCAAGGCACAAGAAGGAGAAUCCAUUCCUUGCCUCGCUCCUUCCUGGUGGCUGCCCUGGGAACGACUCCCGCUGGUCUCUGCCUGUCUUCACAUGAC